GGGCGGGCCCGGUGGGCGGGCCCGGCAGCGACCGCCGCUCGCUGGGCCCGCCCGGAGCGUGUCCGGAGCUAUCCGGGGCCUCCCGGUGCCUCCCGGUACCGGUGCAUCCCGGUGCAUCCCGGUGCAUCCAUGCAGCGGGAGGUGGGCACGCUGCCGCUGGCCCCCGUCCUCCGCGCCCGCCUCGCCGCCGCCGGCUUCCAGACGGCGCAGGAGCUGCUGGACACCGGGCCCUGCGGCCUGAGCAAAGAAAUUGGGAUCUCCAGGGAAGAGGCGCUGGAAGCGCUGCAGGUGGUGAGGCAGGAAUGUCACGGGCACGCAAGGACGGCUGAGGGAUCAAGUAGCACCAGAAAGUGCACAGCCCUGGAGCUUCUGGAAGAAGAGCAAAGCCAGGGCUUCAUCAUCACCUUCUGUUCAGCACUGGACAACAUCCUGGGAGGUGGAGUGCAGCUGACAAAAAUCACCGAGAUCUGCGGAGCACCCGGUGUUGGCAAAACACAGCUGUGCAUGCAGCUGGCAGUGGAUGUCCAGAUCCCGGAGUGCUUCGGGGGCGUUGCUGGAGAAGCUGUGUUCAUUGACACCGAGGGAAGUUUUAUGGUGGACAGAGUGGUGGAUAUUGCAGCUGCCUGUGUGCAGCACUGCCACCUUAUUGCUGAGGCUCAGCAAGAAGAGGAUCAUCAGAAAGCUUUGGAGACUUUCUCCUUGGAAAAUAUCCUCUCUCACAUCUAUUACUUCCGUUGUCGAGACUACACAGAGCUGCUGGCCCAGGUCUACCUCCUGCCAGAAUUCCUGUCAGAGCAUUCCAAGGUCCGGCUGGUGGUGAUUGAUGGAAUUGCCUUUCCCUUCCGCCACGACUUUGAGGACCUGUCCCUGCGCACGAGGCUGCUGAACGGGCUGGCACAGCAGCUCAUCAUCAUAGCCAACGACCACAGAGCAGCUGUAGUUCUGACAAACCAAAUGACAACAAGGAUUGGACAAAGCCAAUCCACAUUGGUACCUGCUUUAGGAGAAAGCUGGGGACACGCUGCCACCAUCCGUUUAAUCUUCCACUGGGACAACAGUCAGAGGUUGGCCACGUUGUACAAAUCACCGAGUCAGAAGGAGUCCACCAUAGCCUAUCACAUCACAAUCAAACUUUUCAGGCAGCCUGUCCCCAUCUGUUCUGCUGCUGGUGCUGCUUAUUUUAUCUGCCCCUGAAGUUAACUUUUGCCCUAAGUGCCGUAACCAAGAACAAUCUGAGCUGCAUUUUGGGAAACCUGAGCCAUUGUCUCCCUGGUCAGUCCCAUGGCUUCCGAGAUGUGCAGCCUCCAGCUGUCACUCCCAGCACAGAAGGGACUGAGCUGAACCCUCGGAAAAGGCCACGGACAGAGGAGGAGAAGCAACAGUGAUUCCAAAGUGGGAUGUUAAAGACCUGCAGGAGAGCAGUGGCCGAGUGAACGUGCAGCCAAAGGCAGUCUGAGAGACUCAACUUCAGUUCCUGCUCUGGACUUUAAUAUUAAGACUGCAGCGUGCAAAUUUCUAUGGCGUAAAAAUCCUUUGUAUAUGGCAUAAUUGUACUUUUAUAAUAAAAAUCUAUGUUUUCUAUAA
Molecule: non-coding RNA, 1584 nt
Organism: Taeniopygia guttata (zebra finch)
Lineage: Eukaryota; Metazoa; Chordata; Aves; Passeriformes; Estrildidae
Source: RefSeq, a predicted model, not a curated record